UAGGAGAGCAAGAAUACUUAACUGAGGUAA
This 30-nucleotide non-coding RNA is filed under the name Rattus norvegicus (Norway rat). The record is from RNAcentral. Lineage: Eukaryota; Metazoa; Chordata; Mammalia; Rodentia; Muridae.